Molecule: ribosomal RNA, 1432 nt
Filed under: Bacillus tequilensis
Lineage: Bacteria; Bacillati; Bacillota; Bacilli; Caryophanales; Bacillaceae
Description: 16S ribosomal RNA
Rfam family: Bacterial small subunit ribosomal RNA
Source: RNAcentral
CUAAUACAUGCAAGUCGAGCGGACAGAUGGGAGCUUGCUCCCUGAUGUUAGCGGCGGACGGGUGAGUAACACGUGGGUAACCUGCCUGUAAGACUGGGAUAACUCCGGGAAACCGGGGCUAAUACCGGAUGGUUGUUUGAACCGCAUGGUUCAAACAUAAAAGGUGGCUUCGGCUACCACUUACAGAUGGACCCGCGGCGCAUUAGCUAGUUGGUGAGGUAACGGCUCACCAAGGCAACGAUGCGUAGCCGACCUGAGAGGGUGAUCGGCCACACUGGGACUGAGACACGGCCCAGACUCCUACGGGAGGCAGCAGUAGGGAAUCUUCCGCAAUGGACGAAAGUCUGACGGAGCAACGCCGCGUGAGUGAUGAAGGUUUUCGGAUCGUAAAGCUCUGUUGUUAGGGAAGAACAAGUACCGUUCGAAUAGGGCGGUACCUUGACGGUACCUAACCAGAAAGCCACGGCUAACUACGUGCCAGCAGCCGCGGUAAUACGUAGGUGGCAAGCGUUGUCCGGAAUUAUUGGGCGUAAAGGGCUCGCAGGCGGUUUCUUAAGUCUGAUGUGAAAGCCCCCGGCUCAACCGGGGAGGGUCAUUGGAAACUGGGGAACUUGAGUGCAGAAGAGGAGAGUGGAAUUCCACGUGUAGCGGUGAAAUGCGUAGAGAUGUGGAGGAACACCAGUGGCGAAGGCGACUCUCUGGUCUGUAACUGACGCUGAGGAGCGAAAGCGUGGGGAGCGAACAGGAUUAGAUACCCUGGUAGUCCACGCCGUAAACGAUGAGUGCUAAGUGUUAGGGGGUUUCCGCCCCUUAGUGCUGCAGCUAACGCAUUAAGCACUCCGCCUGGGGAGUACGGUCGCAAGACUGAAACUCAAAGGAAUUUGACGGGGCCCGCACAAGCCGGUGGAGCAUGUGGUUUAAUUCGAAGCAACGCGAAGAACCUUACCAGGUCUUGACAUCCUCUGACAAUCCUAGAGAUAGGACGUCCCCUUCGGGGGCAGAGUGACAGGUGGUGCAUGGUUGUCGUCAGCUCGUGUCGUGAGAUGUUGGGUUAAGUCCCGCAACGAGCGCAACCCUUGAUCUUAGUUGCCAGCAUUCAGUUGGGCACUCUAAGGUGACUGCCGGUGACAAACCGGAGGAAGGUGGGGAUGACGUCAAAUCAUCAUGCCCCUUAUGACCUGGGCUACACACGUGCUACAAUGGACAGAACAAAGGGCAGCGAAACCGCGAGGUUAAGCCAAUCCCACAAAUCUGUUCUCAGUUCGGAUCGCAGUCUGCAACUCGACUGCGUGAAGCUGGAAUCGCUAGUAAUCGCGGAUCAGCAUGCCGCGGUGAAUACGUUCCCGGGCCUUGUACACACCGCCCGUCACACCACGAGAGUUUGUAACACCCGAAGUCGGUGAGGUAACCUUUAGGAGCCAGCCGCCGAAGG